AUACGGCGAAACUGCGAAUGGCUCAUUAAAUCAGUUAUCGUUUACUUGAUAGCCCCUUACUACUUGGAUAACCGUGGUAAUUCUAGAGCUAAUACAUGCUGAAAACCCCGACUUCGGAAGGGAUGUAUUUAUUAGAUUAAAAACCAAUGCCCCUCGGGGCUCACUGGUGAUUCAUGAUAACUUCUCGAAUCGCACGGCCUUGCGCCGGCGAUGGCUCAUUCAAAUUUCUGCCCUAUCAACUUUCGACGGCUGGAUCUGGGCCCGCCAUGGUGACAACGGGUAACGGAGGGUUAGGGCUCGGCCCCGGAGAAGGAGCCUGAGAAACGGCUACUACAUCCAAGGAAGGCAGCAGGCGCGCAAAUUACCCAAUCCCGACUCGGGGAGGUAGUGACAAUAAAUACUGAUACAGGGCUCUUUUGGGUCUUGUAAUUGGAAUGAGUACAAUUUAAUUCCCUUAACGAGGAACAAUUGGAGGGCAAGUCUGGUGCCAGCAGCCGCGGUAAUUCCAGCUCCAAUAGCGUAUAUUAAAGUUGUUGCAGUUAAAAAGCUCGUAGUUGAACCUUGGGCCUGGCUGGCCGGUCCGCCUCACCGCGUGCACUGGUCCGGCCGGGUCUUUCCCUCUGGGGAGCCGCAUGCCCUUCACUGGGCGUGUCGGGGAACCAGGACAUUUACUUUGAAAAAAUUAGAGUGUUCAAAGCAGGCUUAUGCUCGAAUACAUUAGCAUGGAAUAAUAGAAUAGGACGCGCGGUUCUAUUUUGUUGGUUUCUAGGACCGCCGUAAUGAUUAAUAGGGACAGUCGGGGGCAUCAGUAUUCAAUAGUCAGAGGUGAAAUUCUUGGAUCUAUUGAAGACUAACUACUGCGAAAGCAUUUGCCAAGGAUGUUUUCAUUAAUCAGGAACGAAAGUUAGGGGAUCGAAGACGAUCAGAUACCGUCGUAGUCUUAACCAUAAACUAUGCCGACUAGGGAUCGGACGAUGUUAUUUUUUGACUCGUUCGGCACCUUACACGAAAGUACAAGUUUCUGGG
Molecule: ribosomal RNA, 1026 nt
Filed under: Hyalorhinocladiella ips
Lineage: Eukaryota; Fungi; Ascomycota; Sordariomycetes; Ophiostomatales; Ophiostomataceae
Description: SSU rRNA
Rfam family: Eukaryotic small subunit ribosomal RNA
Source: RNAcentral